Molecule: transfer RNA, 68 nt
Filed under: Diadema antillarum
Lineage: Eukaryota; Metazoa; Echinodermata; Echinoidea; Diadematoida; Diadematidae
Description: tRNA-Ser
Source: RNAcentral
GAAGCCUAUGGGUUUGUCUGGGUCCUGCUAAGUCCACAGACCUGCGGUUCGAAUCCGUUGAGGCCUCG